This 1324-nucleotide ribosomal RNA is filed under the name metagenome. Its description in RNAcentral is "bacterial LSU rRNA". It matches the Rfam family "Bacterial large subunit ribosomal RNA", at positions 1561 to 2925 of the family's 2925-position model. The record is from RNAcentral.
AGUGGAUGGGGAGCAACCUAGUUGUGCGUGUGUAAAGGUAGUGCCAAGAAAAGCGAUGAUCAUGUUGAAAAUCAAUUCCCGGUACCCGAAACCGACACAGGUGGGCAAGUAGAGAAUACUAAGGGGCGCGAGGUAACUCUCUCCAAGGAACUCGGCAAAAUGACCCCGUAACUUAGGGAGAAGGGGUGCCACCGAGAGGUGGUCGCAGUGAAGAGGCCCAGGCGACUGUUUAGCAAAAACAUAGGUCUCUGCGAACUCGAAAGAGGAGGUAUAGGGGCUGACGCCUGCCCAGUGCCGGAAGGUUAAAGAAGUUGGUCAGUUUUAGGAUGAAGCUAGCGACUGAAGCCCCGGUGAACGGCGGCCGUAACUAUAACGGUCCUAAGGUAGCGAAAUUCCUUGUCGGGUAAGUUCCGACCCGCACGAAAGGCGUAACGAUCUGGGCGCUGUCUCGGAGAGAGGCUCGGCGAAAUAGGAUUGUCUGUGAAGAUACGGACUACCUGCAUUUGGACAGAAAGACCCUAUGAAGCUUUACUAUAGCUUGGAAUUGUGUUCGGGCUUCCUGUGCGCAGGAUAGGUGGGAGGCGAAGAAGGUAUUCUUGUGGGGAUACUGGAGCCAACGGUGAGAUACCACUCUCAGGAGGCUAGAAUUCUAACUUAAUUAAGGACAGUUUCAGGUGGGUAGUUCGACUGGGGCGGUCGCCUCCAAAAAGGUAACGGAGGCGUACAAAGGUUCCCUCAGACUGGUUGGAAAUCAGUCGCAGAGUGCAAAGGCAGAAGGGAGCUUGACUGCGAGAAGUACAGUUCGAGCAGGGUGGAAACACGGUCUUAGUGAUCCGACGGUGCUGUGUGGAAGGGCCGUCGCUCAACGGAUAAAAGUUACUCUAGGAUAACAGGCUGAUCUCCCCCAAGAGUUCACAUCGACGGGGAGGUUUGGCACCUCGAUGUCGGCUCAUCGCAACCUGGGGCGGAAGUACGUCCCAAGGGUUGGGCUGUUCGCCCAUUAGAGCGGUACGUGAGCUGGGUUCAGAACGUCGUGAGACAGUUCGGUCCAUAUCCGAUGUAGGCGUGAGAAUAUUGAGAGGAGCCUUCCUUAGUACGAGAGGACCGGGAAGGACGCACCGCUGGUGUACCUGUUAUGAUGCCAAUUGUAAACGCAGGGUAGCCAAGUGCGGAGAGGAUAACCGCUGAAAGCAUCUAAGUGGGAAGCCCACCUCAAGAUGAGUAUUCUGGUGUAAGGUCACGGGAAGACGACCCGUAAAUAGGCACGAGGUGGAAGUGCAGAGAUGUAUGAAGCCGAAGUGUACUAAUAGACCGUCGGCUUGAU